This 696-nucleotide ribosomal RNA is filed under the name Salmonella enterica subsp. enterica serovar Typhimurium. RNAcentral describes it as "partial 23S ribosomal RNA". It matches the Rfam family "Bacterial large subunit ribosomal RNA", at positions 1069 to 1680 of the family's 2925-position model. The record is from RNAcentral. Lineage: Bacteria; Pseudomonadati; Pseudomonadota; Gammaproteobacteria; Enterobacterales; Enterobacteriaceae.
AACGAUGCUGUAACGCCCAGACAGCCAGGAUGAUGGAAUAGAAGCAGCCAUCAUUUAAAGAAAGCGUAAUAGCUCACUGGUCGAGUCGGCCUGCGCGGAAGAUGUAACGGGGCUAAACCAUGCACCGAAGCUGCGGCAGCGAACGUAUCACCCAAGACAACUUUACGGAGUUGACGAUUGACGGAGCGAAGCGACGUCAAAGCGUUCAUUAAAGUCGAGUUGGCUUAGGGAUACGUUCGUUGGGUAGGGGAGCGUUCUGUAAGCCUGUGAAGGUGUGUCGUGAGGCAUGCUGGAGGUAUCAGAAGUGCGAAUGCUGACAUAAGUAACGAUAAAGCGGGUGAAAAGCCCGCUCGCCGGAAGACCAAGGGUUCCUGUCCAACGUUAAUCGGGGCAGGGUGAGUCGACCCCUAAGGCGAGGCCGAAAGGCGUAGUCGAUGGGAAACGGGUUAAUAUUCCCGUACUUGGUGUUACUGCGAAGGGGGGACGGAGAAGGCUAUGUUGGCCGGGCGACGGUUCCCACGGUCUAAGCGCGUAGGCGCGUGAUCCAGGUAACCCCGGUCCACUUCAACACUGAGCCGUGACGACGAGGCACUACGGUGCUGAAGCAACAAACGCCCUGCUUCCAGGAAAAGCCUCUAAGCAUCAGGUAACAUCAAAUCGUACCCCAAACCGACAAAGGUGGUCAGGUAGAGAAUC